AUUGAACGCUGGCGUCAGGCUUAACACAUGCAAGUCGAGCGGGGUGAUGGUGCUUGCACUAUCACUUAGCGGCGGACGGGUGAGUAAUGCUUAGGAAUCUGCCUAUUAGUGGGGGACAACAUCUCGAAAGGGAUGCUAAUACCGCAUACGUCCUACGGGAGAAAGCAGGGGAUCACUUGUGACCUUGCGCUAAUAGAUGAGCCUAAGUCGGAUUAGCUAGUUGGUGGGGUAAAGGCCUACCAAGGCGACGAUCUGUAGCGGGUCUGAGAGGAUGAUCCGCCACACUGGGACUGAGACACGGCCCAGACUCCUACGGGAGGCAGCAGUGGGGAAUAUUGGACAAUGGGGGAAACCCUGAUCCAGCCAUGCAGCGUGUGCGAAGAAGGCCUUAUGGUUGUAAAGCACUUUAAGCGAGGAGGAGGCUCUUUUGGUUAAUACCCAAGAUGAGUGGACGUUACUCGCAGAAUAAGCACCGUCUAACUCUGUGCCAGCAGCCGCGGUAA
Molecule: ribosomal RNA, 503 nt
Filed under: uncultured bacterium
Lineage: Bacteria
Description: partial 16S ribosomal RNA
Rfam family: Bacterial small subunit ribosomal RNA
Source: RNAcentral